Pomacea canaliculata is the source of this 1118-nucleotide long non-coding RNA. RefSeq lists it as uncharacterized. The record is from RefSeq and is a predicted model, not a curated record. The transcript is spliced from 3 exons. NCBI's taxonomy places the organism in Eukaryota, Metazoa, Mollusca, Gastropoda, Architaenioglossa, Ampullariidae.
UCCGUUCUCUAUCUGUAGUCUUGAUCAUGUGACAAUUGCUUAGGUCUGUAGGCGGGAAGGCAACGGGAAAAACCAGAGUGAAUAAGCUUGUGUGGAAGGAGGGAAUGUUACACGUGAAGCACAUUCAGUUAGGUUAUAAUGUUCAUUUGUCACAAAAUAAUCGUUCUGUAGGCAUUGUCUCUGGACUUGUCGAAUGCUUGGUGUGUUCAGUCCGUCAACGUCCUGAAGUGUUGUUCCGCUACCCCAGAGUUCGGAAUAACAGUUUGGAUUGUGUGUGUGUGUGUGCCAGCUACGGAGAUCCUGGUGGAGUAUGUGCCUAAGUGUGUAAGUGAACCUGUACGCUCGUCGUGAAGUGAGUGAGAGCGUUCCUGACGCAGAGAUACGUCUGCCUUUAUUUUUACGUUCGUCUCAGUGACACUGGCGGACAGUAACAGUAAGUGUUUUCAAACUUUCUAUAAAUUAUCAGGCAGGCCAUUUGUAUUCUGGACCGAUUUAUAUGGACAGGUUUGUCUACUCCUGGCAGACCUUACGGAAGGUGGGGGUCAGAUGAACGUAGUCACGGGUGAGGCCAGUUCUUGUCGAAUACAAUCUCUUCCUGCUACACGGGACGGUGAACAACAACAACUGAGAAUGUGUCCUAGAUUAUGAAGCGGUGUGCCACUCCUUCAAACAACAGCGACUGAUGAAAUCGAGACAAGAGAUGAAGACGAGCAAUAUGUAAGGGCGAGAUGGACUUCAAAAGACAUCAAAUGUGUCAAUAGACCAAAGUUCUUGAGUCCGAAAUUCAUCAAAAUCCUCCCGACUCCUCCUUGAAUGACAGGAAAGGUCAUUGCUUCAAACCUAGCAAGCUUUAACAUCUAGAAGUGCUUGUCAUCGGACAGGGAAGCUCAGAGUUCCAAUCCCUUCAGUGCACUUCACAGCUUCGAGCAGUUGUCUUUUCUGUUUGAACUCUCGAAAGGAAACAAGGGGUGUCACAACAUCAUAAGAUGGAGGAUUCAGUUCAAGAUCAGCAAGAACUUCAGCAGGAAGACACCAUGCCACUCGAGAGCACGGCCCUGCUGAACUCAGUUGCUGAAGCUGGCAGCUGCGAUGUGGUCAAAGAACUCACUUCUGAUAGU